Molecule: long non-coding RNA, 232 nt
Organism: Amblyraja radiata (thorny skate)
Lineage: Eukaryota; Metazoa; Chordata; Chondrichthyes; Rajiformes; Rajidae
Exons: 3
Source: RefSeq, a predicted model, not a curated record
UGUCGGUGUGCCUUUCCUCAUCUUCGUCAAGUCCAUGAGGUCGUGGACGAUUGUUCGCAGACUCAGUAGAGUACCAUCGCGUUUAAACUGAAAAGCUCAGAGGCAGAAGUGUUGAUCCCACAGCAGAGUACCACGUUUGUGUUCUACAGCCACGGGGAUUGUAGGCAUCCUGAUCACCAUCACACAAACCCAAGAACUCUGGUGAGAUAAUAAAAAGGUGGUGAAUUCAGAA